Molecule: long non-coding RNA, 644 nt
Filed under: Rattus norvegicus (Norway rat)
Lineage: Eukaryota; Metazoa; Chordata; Mammalia; Rodentia; Muridae
Description: long non-coding RNA NONRATT019380
Source: RNAcentral
GGGCGCAUGUCUUCUUGCCUCAAAUCUGAUCAGAAUAGACGCCGUUUGAAUGGCAUCUGUCAAGAAGGGAGGCUGAAACCUCUUGUCUGAAAGACAAAGCUUCUACAUUCUCUUGAUGUUUUCCCCCUUCAGUCUUUCCCCCUAAUUAUUAGCUAGCUAAGCGAUACUGUGCGCUGGAUGGAGGGAGACGAUUCCCGGACUUAAUUCUCAAGUGUUCUUCUUUCUCCCCUUUACAGAAUCUCUCUAGCUGUCUCUGGUGGCUCUUUAACCACGAGACAGGACGGCUCUACGUUGAAUUACAGUUUUUCUGUGCUGUGUUUAACUUCGGCCAGGGAUUUAUUUCCUUCGGAAUUUUUGGGUUGGACAAACAUCUAAUCAUCCUACCUUUCAAAAGAAGGCUUGAAUUCCUGUGGAACAAUAAAGAAACAGCAGAAGACAGAGAAUCCCCGGUUUCCGAGGAAAUAAAAAUGACCUGUCAACAGUUUGUACAUUAUCACCGUGACCUGUGCAUCCGAAACAUCGUCAGAGAAAGAAGGUACAGAAUAUGCUGCAGCAGGAAAUGACGAACUGUGAAUAAUCAAAUAUUAUGGUGUCGAUGGUUUUAGAUGUUAUGAGAGAGGAAAUAAAACUGAGAAAAUAUGAAG